GGGUGCGAGGCGGUAGUGUCGCCAGAUGUUUACGGGAAAAGUGUCGAGACAGCAGUGAGAUGAGUGAAAUGCUGACUCAGGACGCCUGCUGGAGGCCCCUCUGGUGCAGGGUUGAGCAAGGAGGAGAAGGGACAGUAGCAGGGUAGUGGCAAGAGAGGAAACACGUAUUCACACUGCCGUUACCACCGGGGCCGACCGGAAGGAGUUUGACCACUAUCAAUAAAUGAUGUGAGUUCGACGCAGCGGUAUCAGUCACCUUAACUACUCACUUAAAUAAGAGCUGGUCAUCAUCGCGCUUACACUAGGAGACUGAGUGUCACCUGAAAGUGUAACGGGUGCUACAACACCUAGCAGCCCAUAUGUCCCAGCAGUGGUGCAGCGUCGGACCCUUAAACUUCCAGGCAGGAGACACAAGAUGGACACAAGAUAAAAGAUUCUGAAGAAGCAAGGCCAAGCAUAUAUUACUGGAUAGUUUGCAGAAAUGUGUAGAUUUCCUUGAAUAGUUUCAACCAAAAUGAUUGCAAUAGCUGGAGCUUUUCAGGACUUUGUUGAAUAUUGCAGGGCAUGAAAUUCUGUAUUUCUUAUGCAUCACUAAAGGUCUCUUUUGCUUUCUUCAGACAUGUUGUGUAUUUGUAAUUUAUUUAAUUGUUUUCUAUAGGAAAUAACAUAUAAAAAUAUGUUUAAUAGCAGGCUGUGAAGAAUUGUUCCAAAUAGUAUACACCACAAGUGCUAUAUGCUUUACAUGUUAUUAAGUGUAUAAUAAGCUCAGCCAUAUUGUCCUGCAUUUAAUUUUUAGUCAGAUAAUUUCUCCCCUUUUUUACAAUUUAAGUUGUGAUUGUGUUCAUGUAUACCAGCAGUUUUUUCUUUAAUCAUAUUAGUAAAGAAGUUGUUAUUAUAUAUAUGAAGUCAGAUUAAGUGAUUUUCAAAAGCAUUAUAAUCAAGCUCAUUUAGCCUGUGUCACUCUCAAAGUUAUACGCCUCCGUGGUCUAAUGGUCAGCGUUCCUGGCUUCUACUCCGUAGGCCUGGGUUCGAAUCCCGGCCCGGGCAGUCGGCGUGCAGCUCACCCAGCUGUUCAUCCUCCCUCUCAGGCUGGUCGAUAAAUGGGUACCUGGGGAAAUCUGGGGAAGGCAAUCUAUGGUAACCCAGAUAUCACACUGGCCCUGUGUCCCGGGGUAAUGCGGGCUUCCUUCCACCACAGGCUCAAGGGCCAAUGUUAGGGAGAUGAGCACCGAGACCAUGUGCUGCUACUGCGUAUCCACCCAACCUGACUACUUUUACUCUCAAAGUAUAAAAUUGUGUGUUUGUGUGUAUGUGAGUGUGUGUGUGUGUGUGUGUGUGCAUGUGUGUGUGUGUGUGUGUGUGUGUGUGUGUGUGUGUGUGUGUGUGUGUGUGUGUGUGCGUGCGUGCGUGUGUGUGUGUGUGUGUGUGUGUGUGUCACAUCCUGGAGAGCCCAAGACUUCUCUCAAAACUCUGAUGACUCGAGAAACAGUCUUGCUUCCAACUAUAUUUUGAGAGCCAACAGUCGUCGUGAAAAUUUUCUAGGUAUAGUGGAAUGUGUCUUGACAGUGGGCAGUGCCAUUGUCUUUGAAGAACUCCACCGAGUUCUUAACGAAACACACCCAUACACCAAUUUGCUUGAUGAUUUCCUGUAUUUUAUUGCCAGUACACUAUUUAACACCUUUAAAUAUUUAAUAAUAUAUUUAUUAAUGGCAACUUUUUCAUUAUGUUCUCAACUUGUGCCAGCAACAUAUGAGUCAGUACCUUAGUAAGGUUAGGUUACAUAAAUGAAAAAAAUGC
Molecule: long non-coding RNA, 1797 nt
Organism: Eriocheir sinensis (Chinese mitten crab)
Lineage: Eukaryota; Metazoa; Arthropoda; Malacostraca; Decapoda; Varunidae
Exons: 3
Source: RefSeq, a predicted model, not a curated record